Molecule: transfer RNA, 91 nt
Filed under: Pseudogymnoascus verrucosus
Lineage: Eukaryota; Fungi; Ascomycota; Leotiomycetes; Thelebolales; Thelebolaceae
Description: partial tRNA-Phe
Rfam family: tRNA
About the family: Transfer RNA (tRNA) molecules are approximately 80 nucleotides in length. Their secondary structure includes four short double-helical elements and three loops (D, anti-codon, and T loops).
Source: RNAcentral
GCGGCUUUAGCUCACUUGGGAGAGCGCCAGACUGAAGACAACUUCAGCUCCGAUAUCUGGAGGCACUGUGUUCGAUCCACAGAAGCCGCAA